GCUUCUGGGGAAAAUGAGGCAGAGAAAGUGUGUCUUAAACCUUCCAGGAGGAGAAACAAGAGAGAUACAAACUGACUUCAGAAGGUGUACUGUGUGAGAACUUCCUUAAGUUCUAGUUCUUCCCAGAGACCCUCCCGACUGAUGACGUUUGCUCAGAGUUCCAGUUUGUCUUUACCACUAGCUUCUCCUGAAUUCAGACAGUCUGUUUACUCUCUCCAGAGUAUACCAGUGAACUGCUGAUGUGCUCAGCAUCAGUGACCUCAGCAUCACCUGGAAGCUUGUUAGAAAUGCCUACUCUCAGCCUCUGCCCCAGAUCAACUGAAUUAGACCCUCCUCUGGCAAGAUCCUUGUGUGAUAUGAAUACAUAUCAAAGGGUCUCCCUCUGAUUUUGAUGCCGUUCUUGACCACAAAAAGGAUACUGCAGCUGGUCCAUGGCCUGCUGGUUGAUGGUCCCCAUGCUGUUGUACACAAAGGUGCUGCUCAGCAGUAUUGCGAGAGCAAAGAUCCAGGA
Molecule: long non-coding RNA, 511 nt
Organism: Phyllostomus hastatus (greater spear-nosed bat)
Lineage: Eukaryota; Metazoa; Chordata; Mammalia; Chiroptera; Phyllostomidae
Exons: 4
Source: RefSeq, a predicted model, not a curated record